RNAcentral lists this ribosomal RNA (674 nucleotides) under Escherichia coli. RNAcentral describes it as "partial 23S ribosomal RNA". It matches the Rfam family "Bacterial large subunit ribosomal RNA", at positions 1085 to 1761 of the family's 2925-position model. Lineage: Bacteria; Pseudomonadati; Pseudomonadota; Gammaproteobacteria; Enterobacterales; Enterobacteriaceae. The record is from RNAcentral.
CCAGACAGCCAGGAUGUUGGCUUAGAAGCAGCCAUCAUUUAAAGAAAGCGUAAUAGCUCACUGGUCGAGUCGGCCUGCGCGGAAGAUGUAACGGGGCUAAACCAUGCACCGAAGCUGCGGCAGCGACACUAUGUGUUGUUGGGUAGGGGAGCGUUCUGUAAGCCUGUGAAGGUGUACUGUGAGGUAUGCUGGAGGUAUCAGAAGUGCGAAUGCUGACAUAAGUAACGAUAAAGCGGGUGAAAAGCCCGCUCGCCGGAAGACCAAGGGUUCCUGUCCAACGUUAAUCGGGGCAGGGUGAGUCGACCCCUAAGGCGAGGCCGAAAGGCGUAGUCGAUGGGAAACAGGUUAAUAUUCCUGUACUUGGUGUUACUGCGAAGGGGGGACGGAGAAGGCUAUGUUGGCCGGGCGACGGUUGUCCCGGUUUAAGCGUGUAGGCUGGUUUUCCAGGCAAAUCCGGAAAAUCAAGGCUGAGGCGUGAUGACGAGGCACUACGGUGCUGAAGCAACAAAUGCCCUGCUUCCAGGAAAAGCCUCUAAGCAUCAGGUAACAUCAAAUCGUACCCCAAACCGACACAGGUGGUCAGGUAGAGAAUACCAAGGCGCUUGAGAGAACUCGGGUGAAGGAACUAGGCAAAAUGGUGCCGUAACUUCGGGAGAAGGCACGCUGAUAUGUAG